GCCACGGGCGGAGCUCAUGCCGCGGCACGCCGACACGAACGCGCGCGUCGCGGCGGCGCCCACCCCACCCCCGCAUGUGCCGCUGCGCGGGUGCUACGUAACAUCCCAGCUUACUCUGCUCUGGUGGGCAGAGCACGAAUCGCACCGCACCCCACGUCGCGACCGCCGCCGGCCAUCCUCACGACACGCGCCGGCCAUCCUCGGCUGCCGUGCCGCCCCCUCACUCCUCUCCUCGCCUUAAGGCCCGACCGGCCCCUUCCCCUCAAACCCUAACUCUAUCCCUAGCCCCAACCCGCCAUGGGCCGCCGCCCCCGAGCUCCGUUGUCGUCGCUGAUUCGUCGCCCCCGGUGGGUGCCGCGCCAAUUCCUCUCGAGGGGAGCUUCCUUGCGUCGUCCUCCUCCGAUUUCCUUCCUUACCCGGCCCCUUCCCUCGCCGUGCAGAGCCGCCGGCGUUGACCUCCGCCCGCCGCCGCCGUUCGUCGUCGCGCCGCCCCGCCGUUGCUCCUCACCGCUCGUGCCGCCGCCGUGACCGAACCAUCGGAGGUCGAACCUGUGGAGCCCACCGAGUCCGUUGAGCCCGAACCCGGAGUACAGUUCGUGGUCGGACCCGAAGUUAACCAAGACAAGCAGCUAAGCAUAAUUUCUUGCACCUAUUUAAUUUGAUUAGUUUAGUUAUCUCAUCGGGUAAUGUUGGGUAUAUAAAUUAUGUACGUAUUGCA
Long non-coding RNA from Panicum virgatum (switchgrass), 718 nucleotides. RefSeq lists it as uncharacterized. The record is from RefSeq and is a predicted model, not a curated record. Lineage: Eukaryota; Viridiplantae; Streptophyta; Magnoliopsida; Poales; Poaceae. The transcript is spliced from 2 exons.